This 293-nucleotide ribosomal RNA is filed under the name uncultured bacterium. Its description in RNAcentral is "partial 16S ribosomal RNA". It matches the Rfam family "Bacterial small subunit ribosomal RNA", at positions 505 to 796 of the family's 1533-position model. The record is from RNAcentral.
GUGUCAGCAGCCGCGGUAACACGUAGGGGGCAAGCGUUGUCCGGAUUUAUUGGGCGUAAAGAGCUCGUAGGCGGCUCGGUAAGUCGGGUGUGAAAACUCGGGGCUCAACCCCGAGACGCCACUCGAUACUGCUGUGGCUUGAGUCCGGUAGGGGAGUGUGGAAUUCCUGGUGUAGCGGUGAAAUGCGCAGAUAUCAGGAGGAACACCGAUGGCGAAGGCAGCACUCUGGGCCGGUACUGACGCUGAGGAGCGAAAGCGUGGGGAGCAAACAGGAUUAGAAACCCGCGUAGUCC